GAUGAACGCUGGCGGCGUGCCUAACACAUGCAAGUCGAACGGAGUCCAGCCUUUAAGACCUUCGGGUCAAAGAGGGGAAGACUGAGUGGCGGACGGGUGAGUAACACGUGGGCAACCUGACUCAUAGAGGGGGAUAACAGAGAGAAAUUUCUGCUAAUACCGCAUAAGCACACACUGCCGCAUGGCAGAGGGUGAAAAGAGAAUCGCUAUGAGAUGGACCCGCGUCUGAUUAGCCAGUUGGCAGGGUAAGAGCCUACCAAAGCGACGAUCAGUAGCCGAUCUGAGAGGAUGAACGGCCACAUUGGGACUGAGACACGGCCCAAACUCCUACGGGAGGCAGCAGUGGGGGAUAUUGCACAAUGGGGGGAACCCUGAUGCAGCGACGCCGCGUGAGUGAAGAAGUAUUUCGGUAUGUAAAGCUCUAUCAGCAGGGAAGAUAAUGACAGUACCUGAAUAAGAAGCCCCGGCUAACUACGUG
Molecule: ribosomal RNA, 478 nt
Filed under: uncultured bacterium
Lineage: Bacteria
Description: partial 16S ribosomal RNA
Rfam family: Bacterial small subunit ribosomal RNA
Source: RNAcentral